This 72-nucleotide transfer RNA is filed under the name Ovis aries (sheep). It matches the Rfam family "tRNA". From Rfam's summary of the family: Transfer RNA (tRNA) molecules are approximately 80 nucleotides in length. Their secondary structure includes four short double-helical elements and three loops (D, anti-codon, and T loops). The record is from Rfam by way of RNAcentral. Lineage: Eukaryota; Metazoa; Chordata; Mammalia; Artiodactyla; Bovidae.
UCCCUUCUAGCUCAAUUGGUAAAGAAUCUGCUUGCAAUGUAGGAGACCCUGGUUUGAUUCCUGGGUCAGGAA